UGGGGGAUAUUGCGCAAUGGGGGAAACCCUGACGCAGCAACGCCGCGUGAAGGAAGACGGUUUUCGGAUUGUAAACUUCUUUGACGAGGGACGAUAAUGACGGUACCUCGAAAACAAGCCACGGCUAACUACGUGCCAGCAGCCGCGGUAAUACGUAGGUGGCGAGCGUUGUCCGGAAUUACUGGGUGUAAAGGGCGAGUAGGCGGACAUACAAGUCAGAAGUGAAAUCUAGGGGCUCAACCCCUAAACUGCUUUUGAAACUGUAUGCCUUGAGUGCCGGAGAGGAAAGCGGAAUUCCUAGUG
This 303-nucleotide ribosomal RNA is filed under the name uncultured bacterium. RNAcentral describes it as "bacterial SSU rRNA". It matches the Rfam family "Bacterial small subunit ribosomal RNA", at positions 355 to 675 of the family's 1533-position model. The record is from RNAcentral.